AUGAACAAUAGAGGUCAGAUUGAGUGUUUUUAUGAAGUGCAGGUGGAGAGGCAAGCAAUGCAUGGACCAGAGAGGCCGCAGAGGGCGGGAUGCAACAGAUGGACACACUCCGCAGGGGUUCUGCUGGACACCAUACAUGAGACUGAGCAGCAUAAUGACUUCCACUCUGCGGUCUGGAUAAUCCUCACAGAAACAGAGUGGCGACAAACAUGCUCGCGUUUCACAUGCCGCCUUCUGCCGCCGCUCCACUGCCAGACAGCAAUAUGGGGUAGCAUUUGGGCACUGAGCCCUGAAGACUUGAAUCCGCCUGGCUCUCUAAUGCCAGCAGUGCCCUCCAGUGCCUCCUUGUGCACAGCCUGCAGGAAAGGUGAACCGCCUGAGUGGGCAAGAUCACCUCAUAAGUGGUGAGAAAUUGGUUCAUGCUAACUCUUCCUUAGAGGUGUUAAACAACAGAUUUCAUCACUUAUGGCAACGCAUUGUUUACUCAGCUUUGUUUGCUUUCUUUUAUGGAGGAUUUCAAUUAAUUGCAUGGGUUUAGAGAAAGGAAAUCUGUCUCAUUUAACUUCCUACAAAAAUGUGAUCACAGUUUCCUGACGUAUUUUCAGCAUUGGCCAUGAAAUGAUAUAGAUGGGGCAGUGGAAUUCAAAAAAGCAAGGUCUAAAGACAAGGGUAUUUAAAGUUGAACUUCUUUUACUUCUUUAUGCUUUUAGAGCACACUGUCAUGCAUAAGAUGCUGCAAAUGGCACUAGACAAGAGUGCAGAGAUCAGAUGUAUUAUCAUCUAACGUGUGUUAUACAGAGAAAAACUUUGGAAAGGCAGUACAGUGUAAUGCAAAAAUGUGUUCCUUCGCCAGUCAGUGGAAAAGAAAAAACUGCAAGUUUCGGGAAACAUUUUUUAAAAAAAGUUGACUGCAGAUGGACUACUCAGAAGGGAUUAUUUUAGAGAGCUUUGUAAUAGUAAUUAUAUAUUUCUAAUCUAUUUGUAGUUCCAGAUGAUGCCCAAACUGUUUACUGCUAAAGGCCAAAAAUCAAACUAGAUUGAGUGGCUUUGGGCUGAAAAUAAAUGUGCCAUAACAUCCAACUAUAUUAUAAUUAAAAUCCACUAUUAAAAAAAUCACCUACUGUAUAAUAUCUACAUUCCAAUAAAACAAACAUUGAGAUGGCAUGCCAACUUUGGCCCGCAGGCCCUGGUCUGGGCAUCUCUGAUUGCGAAAGUUCACACAUUGAGCUUAGGAACUCUUGACUUGCUCUUGUAGACUGGACAAUAAAUACUCUUGAGUCUGCGUGAUAAAGGGAUCACUCAUCUCACAACAGUAUCUCUAAGAAUUUGUGCCAAAACCCCAAACAAGCCUGAGUCUCUCACCACAAGCCAAUUCUUUGUCCCAACCUCUUGACAUCACAGCAGAAUAAGAGGAGUGUUGGAUUCUUGGGUGUAUGAAUGAACUGGACCCUGUGGAGAGCAAAUCUCAGUAAAGCUGCUAAGGUUAUGUUGAAGCGGUGCAGGCAAGCUGUCAGGUACAGGGAGACUUGCCCAUGCUGGGGAUGCCAGCGCUCUCCAGACUCCACUAAACCUGCACUCAUCCUCUCUCCGUCUCGUUCUCUCUCUCACUCUUCUUUGUCAAAAUCUGCAAGGGCUGUCGCAGCACCACAUGUGGCAUUAACCAUGAUACGCCUGAGCUGAGACGUCCGCUGUGCCCUCCUCCGGCUCCGAGGAUGGAGUGAGAAGAGUAUGCCAGGAUGCUGCAUAGGACAGAUGACAGAGUGUGAGACGGAUCCUGCCCACUGCAGAGAGACAGACAGAGACUUGUGUGUGUGUGGACGUUUUGAGGAGUGGCGUCUCAUUUCACAAGAUGCGAAACUGCGUUAAUAAAUAAUGUAAAAUAGACAAUCUACUGAAUGGAAAAUUUUAUCUUGUAUGUUCUUGCUGGAUUUUGCAAUGUAGUUCUCAGAAAUGUCAUUUACACUGCAAAUGUAUUUUCUUUGUAUUUUUGUCGUUUUCCAGUCAAAAAAAUCUAAACAUUCAUCACAAAAGAAAAAACGUGUAAGAUUAACACUCUCUAUGUAUUUGUCUUUAUUUCUUUUUAUUUGAUUCAUAGUUGACUUUUAUAUACUACUUAACAAAAGUUUGGAUUAAUCAUGAAGAUUUUUUAAUAUUUUUGAAAGAAGUCACUUUUGCUUGCCAACAUUGCAUUCAUUUGAUAAAAAAAUAAUUUACUUAAUUAAUUAAUUAAUUCAGUUGUUCUAGCAAAACAGUUUUUGCUGCUUAGUAUUUUUGUGGAUACAUUUUUUCCCAGGAUUCUUUGCUGAAUAGAAA
Long non-coding RNA from Cyprinus carpio carpio, 2313 nucleotides. NCBI's taxonomy places the organism in Eukaryota, Metazoa, Chordata, Actinopteri, Cypriniformes, Cyprinidae. The record is from Ensembl.